RNAcentral lists this long non-coding RNA (762 nucleotides) under Eutrema salsugineum. RNAcentral describes it as "long non-coding RNA (ESAL_LNC001763)". The record is from RNAcentral. Lineage: Eukaryota; Viridiplantae; Streptophyta; Magnoliopsida; Brassicales; Brassicaceae.
UCUUGAAACUAAAUAAUCAUAAUUAUGGACUCUCCUAAUAAGAAAUAUAUUUUCUUGUUUAACAUUCUGUUCUACAUUUAAUUUAAAUAGAACUCUAAAACAUUAAAUGAUUACAACAACAAAAGUUGAUGACUGCAUGUGAAUAACAUAUCAACGUUUACAAUCUUGUGAGAAUGGUACAACAUAAUCAAUACAACCCAACAAAUGAAAUCAAUUGGUUCAUGGUUGAAUUAGUUUUUUUUUUUACAUUAAAAAUCACAAUGUAUACACUAAAUUACACUAAACUUAUCGACAGUGCCGGACCAAUCAAUUCAGAUGCCCGCGUCUAACUUUUUUAAAUAUGCCCUUUUAUAUAUUUUUUAAAAUGAAAAUAAUAAAAAAAUAAAACAAAAACAUUAUAAAACAAUUUCAAAUUCCAGAAACGGUUUGUAAAAAAAGAAAAGAUCCAAUAAAACAUAUAGUUUAUUGCUGAAAUAUAGAUCUUCUUUUCAUUUUUCCGUGUAAAAUCAUUCAUUAAUCUGUUGUAGUCGAGUUUUUCAACCAUAGCUGUCUCAAUUGAUAAAAAAGCUAACCCCGUUUUUGUUGUUUUCUGGUGAUAAAGAUAACUAAAGAGGUUUUGCUAGAGUGAGUUGAGGAAUGUAACGGGCCAUAGGUGGACGCGGAUUCACUUGGGGGUGUGGGGGGGGCUUCGCCCCCCACGGUACGGUUUUUUUAUUGAGCUAGAUUUAGGUUUUCUUUUAUCUAGUGGGUUUGGGAGUCGGG